This 468-nucleotide ribosomal RNA is filed under the name uncultured bacterium. Its description in RNAcentral is "partial 16S ribosomal RNA". It matches the Rfam family "Bacterial small subunit ribosomal RNA", at positions 28 to 507 of the family's 1533-position model. The record is from RNAcentral.
GACGAACGCUGGCGGCGUGCUUAACACAUGCAAGUCGAACGGAAAGGCCCUGCUUUUGUGGGGUGCUCGAGUGGCGAACGGGUGAGUAACACGUGAGUAACCUGCCCUUGACUUUGGGAUAACUUCAGGAAACUGGGGCUAAUACCGGAUAGGAGCUCCUUCUGCAUGGUGGGGGUUGGAAAGUUUCGGCGGUUGGGGAUGGACUCGCGGCUUAUCAGCUUGUUGGUGGGGUAGUGGCUUACCAAGGCUUUGACGGGUAGCCGGCCUGAGAGGGUGACCGGCCACAUUGGGACUGAGAUACGGCCCAGACUCCUACGGGAGGCAGCAGUGGGGAAUAUUGCACAAUGGGCGGAAGCCUGAUGCAGCAACGCCGCGUGCGGGAUGACGGCCUUCGGGUUGUAAACCGCUUUCGCCCGUGACGAAGCGUGAGUGACGGUAAUGGGUAAAGAAGCACCGGCUAACUACGUG